RNAcentral lists this ribosomal RNA (432 nucleotides) under uncultured bacterium. RNAcentral describes it as "bacterial SSU rRNA". It matches the Rfam family "Bacterial small subunit ribosomal RNA", at positions 917 to 1350 of the family's 1533-position model. The record is from RNAcentral.
GGACCCGCACAAGCAGUGGAGCAUGUGGUUUAAUUCGAUGCAACGCGAAGAACCUUACCAGGGUUUGACAUCCUGCGAACCUCUUGGAAACAGGAGAGUGCCUUCGGGAACGCAGUGACAGGUGGUGCAUGGCUGUCGUCAGCUCGUGUCGUGAGAUGUUGGGUUAAGUCCCGCAACGAGCGCAACCCACGUCUUUAGUUGCCAGCAUUUAGUUGGGCACUCUAGAGAGACUGCCGGUGAUAAACCGGAGGAAGGUGUGGAUGACGUCAAGUCAUCAUGCCCCUUACAUCCUGGGCUACACACGUACUACAAUGCUACGGACAAAGGGCAGCAAGUUCGCGAGGACAAGCAAAUCCCAUAAACCGUGGCUCAGUUCAGAUCGUAGGCUGCAACUCGCCUACGUGAAGGCGGAAUCGCUAGUAAUCGCAGGUC